AAAAAAGCUAUGAAGAGGAUUAUUACAUUUAUAUCUGAAUUCAGAGAGCUGCUGGUUGGUGAGAAGCAGUUGAAAGAAUAGAUGGAACUGGCCUCGGAGCGGCUGGCCCAAAUUCUGACAGACAGGUUCAGAAGAGUAGACGCAGACGGAACCCAACCGUUAUCUAGGGUAGAUAUAUCGUUUUGUAUAUGAGUAUACAAAGCCUGUAUCUGAUAAGUGUAUGAAGUAACAUUCAUAAAUAAGAGUGGUACCGCGUAGGACUUGAUAAAUAGCAGUCUUUCGUCUCUUGC
RNAcentral lists this non-coding RNA (290 nucleotides) under Bacillota bacterium. RNAcentral's name for it is "Firmicutes bacterium T-box sequence". It matches the Rfam family "T-box leader". From Rfam's summary of the family: Uncharged tRNA acts as the effector for transcription antitermination of genes in the T-box leader family. T-boxes are found upstream of many aminoacyl-tRNA synthetase genes and some amino acid biosynthetic genes usually in Gram-positive bacteria. The record is from RNAcentral. Lineage: Bacteria; Bacillati; Bacillota.